GGGGGAUCAACAUUUUAUGUUUGGCAGGUUGGCAGACACAAAACAUCACAUGAACCCACCCACAUUUUUUUCUACUAGAAUCGGAUGGUCAUGGCCCUUCCUAAUCUCGGCUCCUUCUCCAACCCAACUGCCACCGCUUCUGCCGCCGCAACGCCGUCCGCCUCCAACCCGUUGUCUCCUUCCGAUGACCCGUCUAAGAAAAUUCGAAAACCCUACACUAUUACCAAGUCGCGAGAAAGCUGGACCGAACCCGAGCACGAUAAGUUCCUCGAAGCUCUUCAGCUCUUUGACCGUGACUGGAAAAAAAUUGAAGCAUUUGUCGGAUCAAAAACUGUUAUUCAGAUACGUAGCCAUGCUCAGAAAUAUUUUCUGAAAGUCCAGAAAAGUGGAACCAAUGAACAUCUUCCUCCUCCUCGGCCAAAAAGAAAAGCUGCUCAUCCCUACCCACAGAAAGCCACAAAAAGUGCAGCUCCAGCUGUCUCACUGGUGCCUACAUCUUUUCAAGCUUCCCUUCCAUUACCGGAACCUGGAAUUGUAAAAAGGCCUGAUUCUUCUUUGUUACCUAGCAAUGCAGCCCCUGUUGUGUCUGUGCCGUCAUGGACUGACAACUCUGCG
This 615-nucleotide unclassified non-coding RNA is filed under the name Hevea brasiliensis (rubber tree). Lineage: Eukaryota; Viridiplantae; Streptophyta; Magnoliopsida; Malpighiales; Euphorbiaceae. The record is from RNAcentral.